GGAAUCGUGUCGGUGCGGUGUUUUGCGAUUGCACAAAUUUCCGUCUACAACGAAAAACGCCGAGCUCUACCGCCUUAGGAUAUAAUCGCAAUCAGCAGGAAAAACUACGAGCCCUGUGAAGUGUACGACACUGCCUGCUCUACAAAAAUUAUGUACAGUAGCCUGCUUCAAGAUGGGACUGCACUGCAUUUGCCAAGACUGAAUUAUGCCAUGCAGUUUCUUUAUGAGAAAUAAAUCAAAUAGCACCAUAUUUAAAAGAUAAAGUGAAAAUGGCAGA
Long non-coding RNA from Rhipicephalus microplus (southern cattle tick), 277 nucleotides. RefSeq lists it as uncharacterized. The record is from RefSeq and is a predicted model, not a curated record. NCBI's taxonomy places the organism in Eukaryota, Metazoa, Arthropoda, Arachnida, Ixodida, Ixodidae.